This 73-nucleotide transfer RNA is filed under the name Stegodyphus mimosarum. It matches the Rfam family "tRNA". Rfam says of the family: Transfer RNA (tRNA) molecules are approximately 80 nucleotides in length. The record is from Rfam by way of RNAcentral. Lineage: Eukaryota; Metazoa; Arthropoda; Arachnida; Araneae; Eresidae.
GCCUUUCUGGUGUAGUGGGGAGCACUCUCGACGUGUAUUCGAGAGGUCCGUGGUUCGAGUCCCGGCGAGAGCA